CAGUGUGUGCCGCUGACCACCCCCAUGAUGCACUCCUUCUAGACAGCAAUGAAGGCAGAUUCCCUGUCCCCAGGGCCUGAUGACCCCAAUAGCAGCUAAAGCUGACCACCAGUCCAGCCCAGCAACUGACCUCUGCUGACCCCUCCUAAGAGAGCUGACAGGGUCAGCUCACAGCAGGGCUCUGGUGCCCUCCCUGCCUGGGUGAGUGAGCCUGGCUGGCCCUGCCCGGGCCUCGCCGCCCGCUCGUGGGCGAUUAGAUAUACAUCUUCGCCUCCUAUCAGGGUGCUGGAGAAUGGCCCAUUAUGGAGGGAAGAGUGCUUCUCAAUGAUCACCAGGGAGCGCAGCCGCGGCCAGAGCCGAGCGCAGAAUCAAUUUGGCGGGAAGGCCCGGCCAUCCAUCUCCGUUUGCCGGGUAAUUUAGGCCUCGGAGCCGACAGGACAGAUAGCAGCAGGCUACCUUGGCCUCAGGUCCACGGUUGGGCUGAAGAAUGUCGCAUCUGCUGUGGCCAUUAUCUCCAGGAGGCUGCGGUGGGGGUAGGGGUGGGCCCAUGGGGAAGAUCAUACUUCCACCCCAGGUGGGCCCAGACGAGGCGGCCUCCACACGGACCUUUGUUCAUGAGUUUGGUUUUACAUGGCCACCACAAGGACAGGGUGGAGUGGCCCAGGGAAUGGACACUGCCCACUGCCCACAUCACCCUGUCCACCCGCCUGCUGCUGUGCCCAGCCCCAACCUUCCACACUGUCAGCCCCACCCCCAAUGGCUCUCUCUACCAUGAUUGUCCCCCAAGUAUGACUCAGGAUCCAAAACAGGUGCCACCCUCUGAGUCCAGCUUAGACCUGAGUCAAGCAGGGGUGACUCUGGGCCUGUUCAGCUGCUAAGCACAGCCCUGAGGACAGGAAGAGCUGUGGACAGGGUCCCAGGGACCCAGCUCAAGUCGAGGCCUCGUGGUGACAGGCACAUGGCCCCUCCAGUCCCCACCUACUGCCAGUUGGUCUGCAGCUGCUCCUUGGCCACUCCUGCCUGACCCCAGCCCACCCUGCCCUGCCCGCACAGGCUGGCCCACCUCGCCGCGAGUCCGUGGUGAGAGCUGCAACCUGGGUCCCCUCGCGCCCAGGGAGUGGUGCCUGGAACCCGGGCCACCAGAGGGAAG
This 1150-nucleotide long non-coding RNA is filed under the name Marmota monax (woodchuck). The record is from RNAcentral. Lineage: Eukaryota; Metazoa; Chordata; Mammalia; Rodentia; Sciuridae.